Molecule: long non-coding RNA, 1748 nt
Organism: Loxodonta africana (African savanna elephant)
Lineage: Eukaryota; Metazoa; Chordata; Mammalia; Proboscidea; Elephantidae
Exons: 3
Source: RefSeq, a predicted model, not a curated record
AAAUCAACAGUCACUGAAGCUGUAUUGGGGGCUGAGGGUAUGGUAAAAUAUACACAAGUACUUAGCUUUUGCUGAGAGCACCAUUCUUUUCUGGUUCUGGAGGUGUGAGUUGGUUCAUGAGGUGUGAGUUGGCUGGGCAGCUGGCUGCUUCUACCUGAGGAAACUAUGGCUGAAUGCAACUACCAGCCCACUGCAGCCACUCCAGGGAAUGGUGCCUGAGGGAUCCCGGCAAUUCAGGUCCGGUAACUCCUUUCUGCUUCUGAACCAUCUCUCCCUUCCCCUGCCACUCAGUCUGUUUUCUGACUUUGACUUAGAUGUUCAGGGCUCCUAGCUUGUCAUAAAUAUAAUAGUUUCACUUGAUUUUUCAGGUCUUUGUUGUAAGAGGGAUUGCCCAAACAUCUGGCUGUUCCACCAUCUUGGCCCUGCCUCAGCUUUAUUCUUAAUAUCUCUCAAAUCUUGCCACUUUUUCAAUCUGGAUGUCCUGUUGCCACUCUUGUUCCAGCCCUUAUCAUUUUACUUGAAUCAUCUAGGGACCUCCUUAGUGCUUGUCAUGAGAGGGAAUCAACUCCACAAUAACUAGUAUGGCAUGGUAUGUGCAGUGCAAUGGGUUUUUCAUUAUAUAUGGCCUUUCUGGUCUCAGGUUUACAAUUCUGCCAAAAAUGAUUAGUGAUUGGUCUGUUUUAAGCACCUUGUGGGGAUGUAAUCCAUACUGAAGGUUGUGGUCUUUGAUCUUCAUCAGUAAGUGCUUCAAGUCCUCUUUAGUUUCAGCAAGCAAGGUUGUGUCAUCUGCAUAAGGCAGGUUGUUAAUGAGUCUUCCUCCAAUCCUGAGGCCCCGUUCUUUUUCACGUAGUCCAGCUUCUCGUAUUAUUUGCUCAGCAUACAGAUUGAAUAGAUAUGGUGAAAGGAUACAAUGCUGACGCACACCUUUCCUGACUUUACACAGUAUCCUUUUGUUCUGUUUGAACAACUGCCUCUUGGUUCCUCAUGAGCAUGAUUAAGUCUUCUGGAAUUAUUCUUCACAAUGUUAUCCAUAAUUUGUUAUGGUCCACACAGUCGAAUGCCCUUAUGUAGUCAAUAAAACACAGGUAACCAUCUUCCUGGUAUUCUCUACUUUCAGCCAGGAUCCAUCUGACAUCAGCAAUGACAUCCUCUUCUGAAUCUGACUUGAAUUUCUGGCAGUUCCCUGUCGAUAUCUUGCUGCAGCCACUUUUGAAUGAUCUUCAGCAAAAUUUUACUUGCAUGUGAUAUUAACGAUGUUAUUCGAUAAUUUCAACAUUCAGUUGGAUCACUUUUCUUUGGAAUAGCCAUAAAUAUGGAUCUCUUCCAGUCACUUGGCCAGAUGCCUAUCCGGGAACCCUGGGCCAGGGAGAAUGUGCGCUGGAUUAGAAGGCAGAAGCCCACAGCCCACUAACUCUCUAGCUCCAAGGCUAUGUUUUAUCACGUGCAGGCCCCUCUACUGUACCAGGUGGGCUCUAUGUCCACCAACAGCCAGCUGCGCUUGUUCCCAAGCAGACUUGUCUGAUGUGAACUUGUUACUGUAAUUGCAUACAUCCGGUACUACGUAAAGCUGAGGACACAGGACUGUGGAAAGACAGCUGUUUCUCUGAAAAUUAAGUUGAAAGACUUGAUAAAGGUGACUUGCUUUUGCAUCAAGAUUGGAUUUAUCGUCACAGAGGCCUUGGCGCCAUAUGAAAAGGAUGUUCAAUGAAUGUGACAUAUAUGUUUUAGGUUAAAGUUUUAAUAAAACA